GCUCGAAAAUGUUAAAGUUCUUAUUUCAUGGUAUAACUUUGGUAUGCUUGGACCUAGAGUCUUGAAACUUGACAUGAAGGUUGGCCAUAACUAGUUAGUAACCACUGGUCAUUUCAAGGUCAUUCAUUUGAAGGUCAAGGUCACUGUGACCUUGAAUGUAAAAAUGUUAAAGUUCUUAUUUCAUGGUAUAACUUUGGUAUGCUUGGACCUAGAGUCUUCAAACUUGACAUGAAGGUUGGCCAGGAUUAACAGAUGACCACUGGUCAUUUCAAGGUCAUUCAUUUGAAGGUGAAGGUCACUGUGACCUUCAAUAUAAAAAUGUUAAAGUUGUUAUAACUUUGGUAUGCUUGGACCUAGAGUCUUGAAACUUGACAUGAAGGUUGGCCAGAACUAGUAAGUAACCACUGGACAUUUCAAGGUCAUUCAUUUGAAGGUCAAGGUCACUGUGACCUUGAAUGUAAAAAUGUUAAAGUUGUUAUAACUUUGGUAUGCUUGGACCUAGAGUCUUGAAACUUGACAUGAAGGUUGGCCAGAACUAGUAAGUAACCACUGGACAUUUCAAGGUCAUUCAUUUGAAGGUCAAGGUCACUGUGACCUUGAAUGUAAAAAUGUUAAAGUUCUUAUUUCAUGUUAUAACUUUGGUAUGCUUGUACCUAGAGUCUUCAAACUUGAAAUAAAGAUUGGCCAGUACUAGAAGAUGACCACUGGUCAUUUCAAUGUCAUUCAUUUGAAGGUCAAGGUCACUGUGACCUUAAAUGUUAAAAUGUUAAAAUUGUUAUAACUUUGGUAUGCUUGGACAUAGAGUCUUCAAACUUGACAUGAAGGUUUGCAAGCACACUUAGAUGACCACUGGUCAUUUCAAGGUCAUUCAUUCUAAGGUCAAGGUCACUGUGACCUUGAAUGUAAAAAUGUUAAAGUUCUUAUAACUUUGGUAGGUAAAAAUGUUAAAGUUCUUAUUCCAUGUUAUAACUUUGGUAUGCUUGUACCUAGAGUCUUCAAACUUGACAUAAAGGUUGGCCAGUACUAGAAGAUCACCACUGCUCAUUUCAAUGUCAUUCAUUUGAAGGUCAAGGUCACUGUGACCUUCAAUGUUAAAAUGUUAAAAUUGUUAUAACUUUGGUAUGCUUGGACCUAGAAUCUCAAACUUGACGUAAAGGUUUGCAAGCACACUUAGAUGACCACUGGUCAUUUCAAGGUCAUUCAUUUCAAUGUCAUUCAUUUGAAGGUCAAGGUCACUGUGAACUUAAAUGUUAAAAUGUUAAAAUUGUUGUAACUUUGGUACUUUCCUGUCAUUUAAAUCAAAAAUCCGGCUUCAAUGCGGUCAUCUCCGACCGCGGAACUCUUGUGUUAAUGUUAUGUGGCAAUGUUAUUGAUAUGUGAUUAAGGCAUUUAAAAGGAUCAUUGGCUGGGGUGGAGAUUAGUCUAAAUUAGAGCUAUACAUGUGUUGGUCUGUUUCUGUACUCUAGUAUCACUAUAUUAGUUUUGCCUCUUAUGGUCUGUUAAACACUUACAAAGUCAAUAAAAAUUGAGUGAUGUUUUCUUUUUUUAUGCCCCCGGAUCGAAAGAUCUUUAACCUUCGAUAAAAUUUGGUCAUAACUUAGCGAAUAUUGAAGAUAGCAACUUGAUAUUUGGCAUGCAUGUGUAUCUCAUGAAGCUGCACAUUUUGAGUGGUGAAAGGUCAAGGUCAUCCAUUACGGUCAAAGGUCAAAAAAUACAAUCCAAGGGAAGUAAUAAGCUUUAAAAUGGAGAUAAUUUGUAAACCUGCCAAAUGAUACAUUGAAAUUUUAUUUCAAAGCGGCGCAAUAGGGGGCAUUGUGUUUCUGACAAACACAUCUCUUGUUUCAGUUAUGUUUUGUGUUGUUUGAUCAUGUUUUGUAAAAAGUAAUGUUGAAUGUAUUAAGCUCCAUGUUCAGGUUUCAUUGUUCAUUUGUAUAAUAAAAUGUUAAUAUCUCUGAAUUAGACAUCUGUACAUUAUUUUGAUUCAUUAUCAUAUCCUGUGAUAUAUUAUUUUCACCAUGCAAGACAAAUGAAUAUAAUGUGCUUGUAUAAUAUGUUAAAUAUAAAAUUAGAAAAUGAG
Long non-coding RNA from Dreissena polymorpha, 2077 nucleotides. RefSeq lists it as uncharacterized. The record is from RefSeq and is a predicted model, not a curated record. Lineage: Eukaryota; Metazoa; Mollusca; Bivalvia; Myida; Dreissenidae. The transcript has 2 exons.